Long non-coding RNA from Mytilus californianus (California mussel), 491 nucleotides. RefSeq lists it as uncharacterized. Lineage: Eukaryota; Metazoa; Mollusca; Bivalvia; Mytilida; Mytilidae. The transcript is spliced from 3 exons. The record is from RefSeq and is a predicted model, not a curated record.
AAUAGCAAACAGGAAGACUUUUAAAGAGAUUUUUACCUCAAGUCUGAAGUGGUUCAAUGCAAAUAACGAGCUUAAUUCAUUCAAUGCUGGUAUUCAUAAAGUGCCAUGAUUAAAUGAAGAUUUAAUGGAAAGACAUUAUCUGGUGUUUAGGUAAUGUUUGAUGUUUCCAAUCCUGGACAUAUUGGGAAAACGAUGAAACAGAAGGAUGGACAUUAACAAACAGAACUUAGUUUUUAAAAGAGAGAGACACAGUUACAAAAUAUAACUCGGGAAUUAAUUUGCUGUAAUAGAAUAUGGACUACAAACCACUGAUGGACUCUGGAAAAUGCUGUGCAAGGAAAAAGACUCAAAAACAACAAAUUAACUCAGGAAUAUGUUAUGCAAAACAAGAGACUUGAAAAACAAAAAAAAAAGACUGGAAUUAUUAUUAUAAUAAUGAUGUGCACAAUAAGAAACUUUAAUUAAACAACAAAACAAAGGAAUAUUUUAUA